GAUCACAGAACAUUACAGAGCUGAAAUUCCUACUGAAUGGUAGAAAAAACAUGAUAUUCCAAGUAACAUGGGGCUCUACUUGCGAAAUCUAGAAUGAAAUAAUACUAUACUCCGAAGAACGAACCCCCUGAUAAUGAACACGAAAUCACAGGUUAAUGCUAAAGAUAAAUAGACAAUUAAAAACGAGAGCGGCCUGAUCAACAACAGCAGUUAGCAGAGUUUGAGGACCAUAUUCUACAUCAGGGUCGAGCUCUCUUGUUGGUGCAAGAAGGACACUUGUAAUGCUUGAUAUGCUCAGCCCUAGCAGGGGUAAUCUUCACACACUUGCCAUGGAACCACUUCUCACAAAUGUCACAGCAGAUCCAAAAUUCAUCUGAUGCAUAGUUUUCUCCACAGGAGCCACAGAGUGUUUCCCCAUGUUCUUCAUCUUCUUCCUCAUCAAACACUUCUUCUUCUUCAUCCUUCGGCUGUGACUUUGGAUAUUUUUCCGGAGAUUCCAAUCCCUGCUGCUUGUCAUAAAAUAAUGCCAAGUGACUAUAUCAACAAGAAGAAGGGGAGGGGGGACGGAUGUUUAUAACAUACGUAUAUAAAGCAUGUUUAGCUAAGCCUUUCCUAUAACUUUUUGACAAAAGGGCAAUUAUCCUGGCCAGCUUCUCAUUAAAAUCCACUUACAUUUUACGAUUAGAUAUACCAAGGUCUGUUAUAUAAAAGGUGAAAAACACCAUUUCCUGGGGACUGAUGUAUUGCACAUGAAACACACUUACCGGCUUAGAGUUUGACUUUGAUUUGUUGCUACUGUGGUUGGAGACCGAAGACUUCUCUUUCUGUUGUUUCUUUGCAGCACCAGUCACAACUUCAAAUACUGUAGGGAGUUCAUUGAUCAUGUUGAAAAGCCGUUUCCUGGGAAACAAAAUUUCAAAUUUGAUUCAUAAUUGGAAAAUGAGAAAAAAGAACAAUGAUCUUUGACUAAAAUUCAAUUGUAAUAAGGAAGAUGCUUAAACAGUAUGUCAAAGGGCUAAAAUCAUUUGCAUCAACUGUGUAUGCUUUGAUGACUCUGUCUAAUGCCCAGAGAAAUUAUUCAUCCCCUCAACCCUUUUUCAAAACUAAAAUUAUAUAAACCUCCUGAUUUCCAUCCACACAACUAUCUUUCAUACAACACUUGGAAACAUUUUGAACUUGAGGAGCCAACGCAUAUCGCACAAACAGAAUCUAGCUGUGUUUAGAAGUUCAAACCAUGAACAUGUUUGGCUGAGCAUAAAACAAGGUACAGUUUUACGAAACAUGUUUAGAUAACUUACUUAAAUAGAAAAAAGUUACUUUUUUUUUUUUUUUUAAAAGUAGCUUUACUUUGAUCUCAAAAUAAGUAACUUGCUUAUUUACAAUUCUCAUCAAUAACAAAAAUAUUUAGUUUAAAGGUUAAUUAUGUAUAACUUUUUAAGCUAAACCAAAUAUUUUCGAAAUAAAGACAGCAUUUAAUAUAUACCUGUCAGCUUUAUCAAAACCAAAUCUAGAUCCAAAAUAAAAGGCAACAGCAAGCAACCAGGCAUCACUGUGAACAGCAACCAGAGAUAACCAAUCCUUCUCUUGCAUCCCGUCUCUAGCAAAAUUGAUCCCUAGAGCAGGCUCAGGGAGUUCUGGAGGUACUUCUUCAGCAGGCAAAUUGACCUCCCACUGCUCACUAGGAAGUCCAUACAAGCACAAAUUCUCCUUCUCUAUAAAGCACAAGCAGCACACGUACUUAAAAAUAAUAAUAGCAUGGGUGGAAAAAAAGAAAAGAUGACAGUUUGCAAAACAUAACAUAGUUUACAAGUGGAAAGGACUACGACAACAUAACUCACCAGCACUUGUGUGACAGAUAGAGGAACAAAUGAAUUUACAAUAAAAUCACCAUGCAAGUAUACUUUGGCAAAUGUGAAUACCAUAAUGCUAAACAUGGAUGUUGCAACAUCAUAACAGAUAUUAGUUGAAUGCAAAGCAAUGGGAAAAUAUCUUAUAGGGAUCUUAUAAUGUGAAUGGCACAACAAAAAAUGGAUAAUGACUAAACUGAGACUGGAUAUCAAGUUUACCAAUUUUCUAAAAUAUAAAUUUUCCAUUAGAUACUUAUUUGCUUGGAGAUGGUUUACUUUUAACCUUCAAGCCUUUGUUAAUAAUUUUUCACCAGAAGAAUACAUUGUAUUCUGCAGUGGCUUGGGAAAGAUUAAAGGGAAGAAAUACUAGAAACCUUAAAAAUGGAAAUAUAUCCAUAAAGAGAAAUCAUUAUCUUGAAUCCUUGAUAAAAAAAAAAAAAUUUUUAAAAAAAUAAAUUGCUACGAAUUAAUCUAAAAAACCUUAAAAUAAUGUUUCAGGUAGAGAAAUGCAUAUCUCAGAAACCAGACCCCAUAGAAUAUGAAUGAAGAAGACGUAACAUGGGGCUCUACUUGCGAAAUCUAGAAUGAAAUAAUACUAUACUCCGAAGAACGAACCCCCUGAUAAUGAACACGAAAUCACAGGUUAAUGCUAAAGAUAAAUAGACAAUUAAAAACGAGAGCGGCCUGAUCAACAACAGCAGUUAGCAGAGUUUGAGGACCAUAUUCUACAUCAGGGUCGAGCUCUCUUGUUGGUGCAAGAAGGACACUUGUAAUGCUUGAUAUGCUCAGCC
Molecule: long non-coding RNA, 2638 nt
Filed under: Olea europaea (common olive)
Lineage: Eukaryota; Viridiplantae; Streptophyta; Magnoliopsida; Lamiales; Oleaceae
Description: long non-coding RNA (OEUR_LNC004560)
Source: RNAcentral